UUAAGAAAUAGUCUCCACUCAGAAGGGCUUUGUGCUCUGUGAGCUUUAUUACUGCUUCUGGGUGUGUGUUAAUCACUCAGUUGUGUCCAACUCUUUGUGACCCCAUGGACUGUAGCCUGCCAGGCUCCUCUGUCCAUGGAAUUCUCCAGGCCAGAAUACUGGAGUGGGUAGCCAUUCCCUUCUCCAGAGGGUCUUCCCAACCCAGGGAUGGAACCCGGGUCUCUAGUAUUACAGGAAGAUUCUUUACUUUCUGAGCUGCAAGGAAGCCCAUUCUUGCUUCUACUGAGACCUAAAUAUUGGCCCAGAAUUUGCACAGAGAGCACUUCAUGGCUCAUUUAAUAUUUUUUCUGUCUAUCAAUAUUAAGGGAGAAUUGCAGAAUAAAAGAACAUGCCUCCUGAUGGAUUUCGGGUUUGGUCUGUGCCUGCUUACGGCAGGACAGAAAUGGUGGGGAGCUCACACCCCUGGGAGCAGCAGUCAGCCAGGGAUGGAGGGCAUUGGAGGACUAGUAGCUCUGAGGCCAGUUCUUCGUCAUCUCCCAGAGCUCCCCAGGGAGAUGGAGGGCCAGCUGCCCCCACCAACAGCCUGGUCAAACACCCUCGAGAGUGGCUUCCUUCUCCUCUGCAUCUCGUCUCCACCAUCUGACUGACACUUCCUCAGAGUGCCUCCUAAGUAAACCGCCUGCAUGCAAAUCUCACUUCAGUGCCUGCUUCUGGGGAGCUGCAACCUACGGACCUUGGAGUGUGCGGCCAUCGUCAGACUCAAAGCGUUCACGAGCUUCUUUCUCCUGUCCUCGCCAAGAGAACAUCUUUUCUUUCCCAGGAUUUGAAACCAAAGUUGCCUUCUCCUGCCUUAUGCCUCUGUUCCUUGUCCAGCCUUCCCUUUGGCCUCUCUAACUUUUCCCCCUCUUCACCAUUAGUCUUCUUACCCCUCCCCAUUCCAAACUCUGCUUCUUUUCCCUCCAGCACCUCCAAGAACUGCAUUGUGGGAUAUGAUGAACAGACGUUUCUCUGUAUAAAGUCUGACCAUCUGUGGUGGAGAAGAGGUAUGUCCCCAAGUAUUAAAUUUAAUUAAUUAAUAUUAAAUGAACCAGUGAUUUUAUU
Bos indicus x Bos taurus (hybrid cattle) is the source of this 1101-nucleotide long non-coding RNA. The record is from Ensembl. Lineage: Eukaryota; Metazoa; Chordata; Mammalia; Artiodactyla; Bovidae.